GAAGCGGGGGAUAACACCUGGAAACAGAUGCUAAUACCGCAUAACAACUUGGACCGCAUGGUCCGAGCUUGAAAGAUGGCUUCGGCUAUCACUUUUGGAUGGUCCCGCGGCGUAUUAGCUAGAUGGUGGGGUAACGGCUCACCAUGGCAAUGAUACGUAGCCGACCUGAGAGGGUAAUCGGCCACAUUGGGACUGAGACACGGCCCAAACUCCUACGGGAGGCAGCAGUAGGGAAUCUUCCACAAUGGACGAAAGUCUGAUGGAGCAACGCCGCGUGAGUGAAGAAGGGUUUCGGCUCGUAAAACUCUGUUGUUAAAGAAGAACAUAUCUGAGAGUAACUGUUCAGGUAUUGACGGUAUUUAACCAGAAAGCCACGGCUAACUACGUGCCAGCAGCCGCGGUAAUACGUAGGUG
Molecule: ribosomal RNA, 414 nt
Filed under: Lactiplantibacillus plantarum
Lineage: Bacteria; Bacillati; Bacillota; Bacilli; Lactobacillales; Lactobacillaceae
Description: bacterial SSU rRNA
Rfam family: Bacterial small subunit ribosomal RNA
Source: RNAcentral